CCAACACCCGAAGCCUCUUGUCACUGUGGGAGACCUUGAAGCUUAAAUGAAUCAUCUCCUUAAUCUGCCGUUCAAGCAGCUGAGUUCGGCCGGGGACUUCUGAAGGUAUCAGAUUUCCCAGCAAGGAGCCAACAUCCUCUAUAAAUUUGGGGUCACAUUCUAAACAGCCUUUGACUCCAUGGAAGGCUGAGAGGGGCAGGAGCAGGAAUAACCACAGGUCACCCAUUUCUUUCUUCACCCCCGCUCCCCGACAGCAGGUUGUCCUGGCAACUAGUUCACUUAGUUCCUUUUCCUUCAAAAAUCCGGGAAUGAGAGCCUGGUUCUGGAUAGUCUGACUCCACUUUUCCCGCUGUUUCCAUCCCACUAUCGGGCAAUCUUUAGUUGUUUAGUUUAAUGAUCUUUAGUUGUUUACUGACUAUUAUCCUUCAUUCUAGGAGAGGGAACUGCCAGCUGGGGAGCGGAUACCUGAGUUCUGAGUGUAGAACACCAAGAGAUAGAGAAGCCUUGAGCUCACACAAGCAGAGUUCUGUGCAGGGAGAUGUCUCAGAAAAAGUGUUUCUUUAGCCCUCUCCCUGACUUGCAUCCUCAUGAGACUCUUAAACCCCCUCCUGACCUUCAGAGAUGUUUAUCAUCAGAGAUGGGUUAUGGAAGUGAUCCUAUAGAACCUGAGAGAUUGCUUAACUCAAACUCUGCUUCUACAUUAGAGGACUACGUGUCUUUCCCCAGGACUAUAUGCCGUUCCCUUUCCAGGACUAUGUGUCUUUCCGCAGGACUAUAUGCCAUUCCCCAAGUGCCAUUCGGAAAUUAUUCAUAAAAUUUAUGUAGAAACGAAAGGUUCAAAAAUAGCAAAGACACUUGAAGAACCAGGUAGGAAGGACUUGUUCUACCAGCUAUUGAUUUAUUAUAUUAUUACUCCAAUUAAGACACCGAGAUUGUCAUCAAUAUUGAAAAAUAGAUCAGAAGCAACAAAUUAAAAAUCCAGAAACCAGUCAUUUUUCCAUACUAAUUUGGUCUCAAUGAGAACAACAUAAUUCUCAUUCAUCUCCCUGUAGAAGUUAUAUAUUUCCAAAGUGGUUCAAAUGUACUGAAAGCCAACUCACCACUAGGAAUUGAAUCAAAAUUGACCCACAGACGUACAACAUUAAGUUUGCUGCGAAGAUUUAAAUCAGUGGGACAUAAAAUAAAAA
Molecule: long non-coding RNA, 1187 nt
Filed under: Homo sapiens (human)
Lineage: Eukaryota; Metazoa; Chordata; Mammalia; Primates; Hominidae
Description: long non-coding RNA NONHSAT130491.2
Source: RNAcentral